AAUUUUGGACAACGGGGGAAACCCUGAUCCAGCCAUCUCGCGUGUAUGAUGAAGGCCUUCGGGUUGUAAAGUACUUUUGGCAGAGAAGAAAAGGUAUCUCCUAAUACGAGAUACUGCUGACGGUAUCUGCAGACUAAGCACCGGCUAACUACGUGCCAGCAGCCGCUGUAAUACGUAGGGUGCAAGCGUUAAUCGGAAUUACUGGGCGUAAAGCGUGCGAAGGAGGUUCGAAAAGAAAGAAUGUAAAUCCCAGGGCUCAACCUUGGAACUGCAUUUUUAACUGCCGAGCUAGAGUAUGUCAGAGGGGGGUAGAAUACCACGUGUAGCAGUGAAAUGCGUAGAUAUGUGGAGGAAUACCGAUGGCGAAGGCAGCCCCCUGGGAUAAUACUGACGCUCAGACACGAAAGCGUGGGGAGCAAACA
This 422-nucleotide ribosomal RNA is filed under the name uncultured bacterium. RNAcentral describes it as "partial 16S ribosomal RNA". It matches the Rfam family "Bacterial small subunit ribosomal RNA", at positions 360 to 774 of the family's 1533-position model. The record is from RNAcentral.